GAUGACUCAAAGACCGAAACGCAUCGAACGUAUCAAAAAAACUACAUCAAACAUCUUAAAGAAAGG
Molecule: transfer RNA, 66 nt
Filed under: Bigelowiella natans
Lineage: Eukaryota; Cercozoa; Chlorarachniophyceae
Source: RNAcentral